Small nuclear RNA from Camelus dromedarius (Arabian camel), 107 nucleotides. Lineage: Eukaryota; Metazoa; Chordata; Mammalia; Artiodactyla; Camelidae. The record is from Ensembl.
GUGCUCACUUUGGCAACACACAUAAUAAGAUUGGAACUAUACAAAGGAGAUUAGCAUGGAGCCUGUGCAAGGAUGACACGCAAAUUCAUGAAGUGUUCUGCAUUUUG